GAGUACACUGAAACCGGAAGCAGAAGC
This 27-nucleotide non-coding RNA is filed under the name Homo sapiens (human). The record is from RNAcentral. Lineage: Eukaryota; Metazoa; Chordata; Mammalia; Primates; Hominidae.